Ziziphus jujuba (common jujube) is the source of this 4831-nucleotide RNA transcript. It is a transcript of the gene named histidine kinase 3, with no coding region annotated. The record is from RefSeq and is a predicted model, not a curated record. The transcript has 11 exons. Lineage: Eukaryota; Viridiplantae; Streptophyta; Magnoliopsida; Rosales; Rhamnaceae.
UUUAUCUUUUGGUUGGAUGUGCUGGAUAGAGAUAAUGGCCUGUGCUAGCAGACAUUUCUAGCACCAUAUUGUUCUCAUUUUUUCUUUAGCAGAUUCUUCCUUCGUCUCAAUGUCCAUGAAUCUGCUACUCUUUGCUUUCUCUGUCUGAAAAAAAGGAAAAAAAAAAAAAAAAAACUGUUUCCUACAAAACUAUAUUUGUAAUCAAUAUUGUCUUUACUUCUUUCUCUGCAUCAUCGAUCUCUGCAAGGUUGGUUUUCUCAGCAGUCAAACGUCAGCAGCACCCACAUGCUUGAAUUUCUUGUUUUGAUUUUCAGGAAUUUAAGAACUCUUCGAAAACUAGAUUUCCUGUUAGAUUCUUUUGUUGUUGUUGUUGUUGUUGGGUGGUGGUGAGUUUCUGAUUUGAUAACUAAAUUUCGAAUCUUUGUUGGUUAGUUUGGCCCAUUUACUUGUUCUGGGCUUUGGUUGGUAGCUAACAGGAUAAAUAUCCAGUUUUUUCUUUUUCUGCUUAAAAUUGGAAACCAGAAUCUUUAGGAUUCGUUGAUUCUUCUUGUGGAUAUGUGAAUUUCUUAUCCUGCUAAUCUCUGGGUCUUCUCUUGCAUUCUCAAAUUUGGAAGUUCUUUUGGGUGGAUAAGAUAAUAGCAUCUGUCCCUCACUCAUCCUUUCUCAUCUAUAUGGGUUUAUAGUGAAUUUUGAACUUGGGGGUGGGCUUUUGUUCUUCUCCAUUACUCUUGUUGUUCCUCUUUCUAAAUUUAUUUUUAUCUUUUCUAAUGUUGGGUUUAACUAGACAUUUCCUGUAGAUUAUUUGACAGUGGGUCUCUCUCUCUCUCUCUCUCUCUCUUAUAUACACAUUAUAUUACCACCUGGAAUCAGCUCAGCAAAGAAGUCAGACCCACUUAGCCUGGGUUACUGUUUGCAGUUACCCUGUGUUGGUUAGUGCUCUGGAUGAGCUUGCUUCAUGUAUUUGGAUUUGGUUUAAAGGUGGGGCAUCUACUUUGGAUGCUAUGUUGCUGGGUUAUAUCUGUGAUUUCAAUGAAUUGGUUCCUUAAUGGUGGAAUUAUGGACACCAAGACUUGUUUGCUUGGUGAUGGUGGAAAGAUAUGCCCGAAAUGGUGGGAGAAAAUCUCAGGGACCAUUUACAAGAUCCACCAUAACUACUGUCAGUAUAUAGGCUCCAAAACAGUAAGAAGAAGAUGGUGGAAAAGGCUUUUGAUUACAUGGGCACUUGGUUGGACUGUGGCAUCCCUGUGGAUCUUCUUGUAUAUGAACUCACAGGCUACUGAGAAAAGGAAAGAGACUCUUGCCAGCAUGUGUGAUGAGAGGGCAAGGAUGUUGCAGGAUCAGUUUAAUGUGAGCAUGAACCAUAUUCAGGCCAUGUCCAUUCUGAUUUCAACCUUCCAUCAUGGCAAAAACCCUUCUGCAAUUGAUCAGAGAACUUUUGCUAGGUACACAGAGAGAACUGCUUUUGAAAGGCCCCUCACCAGUGGUGUGGCAUAUGCUGUAAGGGUGCUCCACUCUGAAAGGGAACAAUUUGAGAAGCAACAAGGCUGGACUAUUAAAAGGAUGGAUACCUUUGAACAAAACCCCGUUCAUAAGGAUGACUAUGACCCAGAGGCCUUGGAGCCAUCCCCAGUUCAGGAAGAAUAUGCUCCUGUCAUCUUUGCACAGGAUACCAUUUCGCACGUGGUCUCCCUUGAUAUGCUGUCGGGGACGGAAGAUCGUGAAAAUGUUUUGCGUGCAAGAGCAUCAGGAAAAGGGGUCCUAACUGCUCCUUUUCCGCUGCUCAAAACAAACCGUCUUGGUGUUAUAUUGACCUUUGCUGUCUACAAGACAGAUCUCCCCUCAAAUGCUACUCCGAAUGAAAGAAUCCAAGCAACUGAUGGAUAUCUUGGUGGAGUCUUUGAUAUCGAGUCACUUGUGGAAAAGUUACUUCACCAACUUGCAAGCAAGCAAACUAUCCUUGUGAACGUGUAUGACACUACCAAUCACUCACAGCCAAUCAGCAUGUAUGGUUCAAAUGUUUCAUAUGAUGGUUUGCAGCACGUUAGCACCCUAAAUUUUGGGGAUCCUUUUAGGAAGCAUGAGAUGCGUUGCAGAUUCAAGCACAAACCACCAUGGCCAUGGUUAGCAAUAACUACUUCAAUUGGCAUCCUUGUGAUUGCUCUGCUCAUUGAGCAUAUAUUCAAUGCAACUGUAAAUCGAAUUGCAAAGGUGGAAGAAGAUUACAAUCAUAUGAUGGGGCUCAAAAAACUGGCUGAGGCCGCUGAUGUUGCCAAAUCCCAGUUCCUUGCUACGGUGUCCCAUGAGAUCAGAACCCCGAUGAAUGGUGUUCUUGGAAUGCUGGAUAUGCUUAUGGACACAGAUCUGGAUGUAACUCAACAAGAUCAUGUUAGAAUUGCCCAGGCGAGUGGAAAAGCUCUAGUCUCACUUAUAAAUGGGGUGUUGGACCAGGCUAAGAUUGAAUCCGGUAAGCUUGAGUUAGAAGAGGUGCAGUUUGAUCUGCGAGCAGUUCUCGAUGAUGUUUUGUCACUCUUUUCUGGGAAGUCUCAAGAGAAAGGAGUGGAGUUGGCUGUUUACAUCUCGGAUCGUGUUCCUGAAAAGCUAAUUGGUGAUCCAGGAAGGUUUCAACAAAUAAUCACCAAUCUCAUGGGAAACUCAAUUAAAUUCACAGAGAAAGGACACAUUUUUGUCACCAUUCAUCUUGUGGAGGAGGUGAUAGAUUCAGUUGAAGUUGAGACCGAAAUAUCAUCAAGGAACACCUUGAGUGGUUUCCCUGUUGCUGACAGACGGUGUAGCUGGGGACGAUUUAGAGCUUUCAGUCAAGAAGGAUCUGCUGCUACUUUUUCAUCAACCUCCUCUGACAUUAACCUAAUUGUCUCUGUUGAGGACACAGGAGUGGGGAUCCCUCCAGAAGCCCAACCUCGUGUUUUCACUCCUUUUAUGCAAGUUGGGCCAUCUAUCUCUCGGACUCACGGGGGAACAGGUAUUGGGCUGAGCAUAAGCAAGUGUUUAGUUGGCCUUAUGAAAGGAGAAAUUGGGUUUGUGAGCAUUCCAAAAAUCGGUUCCACCUUCACAUUUACUGCUGUUUUCACUAAUGGCUGUAAUUCGAACGAGUGUAGAAGUCAGCAAAUCAUCAAUCAAGCUAACACUGGAUCCUCAGAAUUUCAAGGGAUGACUGCACUGGUAGUUGACCCCAGAUCUGUCAGGGCCAAGGUGUCAAGAUAUCAUAUCCAACGGCUUGGAAUUCUUGUUGAAGUAGUUUCUGAUUUGAAUCAAUGUUUGUCAAUCGUAAACAGUGGGAGUAGAGUUAUCAACAUGAUCCUUGUUGAACAGGAGGUCUGGGAUAAGGAUUCAAGCACAAUAACUAUUUUUGUCAAUAAUUUGAAAAGAACUGAUCACAGGGUUCCUCCAAAAUUGUUCCUUCUUGCCAAUUCAGUUAGUUCUCCUAGAUCAAGCAUUACAACUUCAGGUGUUUACAAUGCUGCUGUUAUCAUGAAGCCUUUAAGGGCAAGUAUGCUUGCUGCCUCGCUACAACGAGCCAUGGGUGUCGGUAACAAGGGUAAUCCUCGAAAUGGGGAGCUUCCCAGUAUGUCCCUACGCAGCCUUCUUCUUGGAAGAAAAAUUCUUAUUGUGGAUGAUAAUAAUGUGAACCUCAAAGUGGCUGCUGGUGCUUUGAAAAAGUAUGGGGCCGAGGUGGUUUGUGAGGACAGUGGGAAAGCUGCAAUCUCACAGCUUGAGCCACCCCACAAUUUUGAUGCCUGUUUUAUGGAUAUCCAGAUGCCAGAAAUGGAUGGGUUUGAAGCCACAAGAAAAAUUCGUGAAAUGGAAAAUAAUGUCAGUACUCGUAUCCAACGGGGAGAAGUUUCUAUUGAAGCUUAUGGAAACGUUUCAACAUGGCAUGUACCCAUUUUGGCCAUGACUGCAGAUGUAAUCCAGGCUACUCAUGAGGAAUGCAUAAAAUGUGGUAUGGAUGGAUAUGUAUCCAAACCAUUUGAAGCAGAGCAGCUCUAUCGAGAAGUUUCACGUUUUUUGCAGCCAGCUUCAAAUGGAAAUCUGUAGAGUGGAUUUACAUUGAUGACUUACUGACAAUUAUAGCGUGAGAGCAUGUUCUCCAUGAAGUUCUGGCAUACUUGAUGAACACAGUUUCUUCUGAGUGGAGAACAUUUGCUUUAUGGCAGAAGAGUGUAUAUAAAAAUCUCUGCUUGAUUGAUUGGUAUUUGGGUUUCUAUUAAUUCUUUCAAAUAGAGCCAAAUGUCAAAGCAGAUUCAAUUUUUCCUUAUAAGAAAGGUAAAUAUCUUUUGCAAGCCAUUCAAUAGAAGUUGGUAAUACCUGGGUUUUAAAUUCCAGCAAAGAGCUCCUCAAUAGGACUUCAUAUCUGGAAAAUUUAUUACUUUGGAAAUGACUGAAAUACGAGUGACUUGGGUGUAUCAUAGAAGCUGUGGGAUUUUGCAUUCUCCAUUGCAAAGGAUGUUUAGUAAUAAGGGACUUGAGCUCAUUUGAAGGGAUUCAGUUGUUUCUCUGAAACGUAGUGUAUCAUAGUAUUGAUUCAGCAGAAAAUAUUGAAUCCGAGCUUUCUUUGAAACAAAGAGCAGGAGGGAAUGCACCACCGCCAUGUACAUUAUGUCCCCAAUAAACAAAAAUUUGUAAUUCAUAGCAGCCUUUUUUUUUUUUUUUUUUUUUUUCAUUAUUUUUUUCCCCUCUUAACAAUUUCAAUAGUUUGUAUCAAACCUAGAAUUCAUGUAACUACGCCAGGGUAUCAAAUUUGAGAUACUCAUGAUUCUUGUCGGAGCUGUAUAUCUCGUAAAUUGCAAAAGUUUUUGUUUUUUGUUUUUUC